UAAAUUCAUACAUACUGUAAUACAGUAAGUCAGAGUAUGUAAUUUAAUUUACAAUACAAAAGGGCCCCCGAAUAAACAAAAGUAAAAAGGACUGUGAACCUACAAUUUGGAAAAUGCAAAUCUAACGGUAGUCCUCGAUGAGAUCAGCUAUCUACAGUCUAUACUGAACUUGAAAUGGAUGGAAAUGAGGGUGGUGAGAUUAUAAAAUCCCAAUGAGUAAAUAGACAUCAUCAUAAACAUCUAGAGUUAAGUACAUGGAGAUAAUAAAGUAAAUCAUCGUAAACUGGGUCACAGCAUUAAAAUACAUUUCAUUUAAAAUACGUGAAAAGGCUUAUGAAUAUCAUAAAAACUAAGCUUGUGCCAUAAAUCCAUUCUCAGGGACACCUUGGCCGAGGCAUCCUACCGAGACCGCCAAGGCUGUUAAAAUUCACAAUUCGCAUAAAUCAUGUUUUUAUUUUGAAAACAUAGCCGUUCCUUGACGUUGGCUGAGUUCCCCUUCACGUGGUGGUUUAGCGUGAAGUGAACCCUAAGCUUUACCCCAAGAGAUACCCUAUGCGCCUCUCCAUUUGAAGUAAAAAUAUAAUGGGGUUUAUUGUGCCCCUCUAAAAGGCUAGUCCACAGAAACCCCCUACUGUAGUGAUUAAUUAAUAUAUAAUCCACCAUAUAAUAAAGUUUUGACAGCAUGACAGGGCUAAUGAAAUACUACCCAGCUUGCAAGGGUAAAAUAAAACAAUUCAUACAAUUCAUAAAACACAGCCCAGCCAGUCAUGCCAACACAAUAAUAAUAUAACAUAAGCCAUCAAUUUAAACAAUCAAAUUGCCACAAUUAACAGUCUCCGUGUACUUUAUUUUUUUCAAAAUCAUUAUUAGUUUCAAAACAAUUUAUAAUUUAAUUUCAUUGAAACACCUUUAUUUAUAAAACAUGAAAAUUUACCUUUUAAAUCCUUUUUUUCAUACAAUUCAUGAAAUCAUCUAAAAACCACCCUAGAUAAUUAAAAUGACGGUAAGUUUACUCACAAUGUUUAGAAUGCAGACUUUCGAAGUACUCUGUCUACUAGUCCUCGGAUGCAAUUUCCUUGCCUUUAUCGGAGGACUCACCACCUUGACACAGUACAAAAUUGAGAAACUCACCACAUUGAUACUAAAUUGAAAUUAAACUAAUUUAGGCUACUAAUGCAUGAUAUGGAAUGCAAAAAUGUCCGAAUAGCCGUUUAAAUAUGGUGUUCAACCUAAUUCGCACUAUUCUCGGUCUAAUCGGCUAUAAUCUUCAAUUAAACUCCAAAUUAAUUCUUUUCACUUUCUACACUCCAAUUAUACCUAAAUCACGUUAGUGACUGUGAAUGAGGUUCAAUUUAUCGAUCCCGGGUCAAUAAUUACACAUGUCUAUAUGUUGAGUAAAAAUUUGUAUUUUCGCACCAAAAUUUCCCAUUUAAUUUAUAGCCUCACCAAACAUCAAAUAUCACCAAAAUAUCAUGAAAUAUCAUCAAAUUCAGCCACAAUAUUCUCCCUAGGAAAUUUGGCCAAUGAUGGUAAUGGGGGAAAAUGAAUUCUUUUCUUGUUGUUUUGUUUCUAAAUAUGCAAAACUAACUUAAAACACUAAGAUAACUGAAAAUCAGAUCAAUCUAACUUCAUUGUCUCUCCAUACCCAUUUGGGCAGCCAUGAAUUCACCAUGAAAACAUGAAAUCUAACCAUGGAAAAUCAGGAGAAAAACAUGCGAAAGGUAGAUCACAAGUCAAAAUCAAGAAAUUUUACCUUUGAUUGCUUGAUUCCUUGAAAUCCCACACUUUUUCUUUAAUUUUCCCACAUAGGUUUCUUGUUUUUCUUUUCCUCUCUUUGUUCUUGCUAUGGCCG
RNAcentral lists this long non-coding RNA (1852 nucleotides) under Theobroma cacao (cacao). Its description in RNAcentral is "long non-coding RNA (TCAC_LNC005437)". Lineage: Eukaryota; Viridiplantae; Streptophyta; Magnoliopsida; Malvales; Malvaceae. The record is from RNAcentral.